GACGAACGCUGGCGGCGUGCUUAACACAUGCAAGUCGAACGGAGAGGCCCUGCUUUUGUGGGGUGCUCGAGUGGCGAACGGGUGAGUAACACGUGAGUAACCUGCCCUUGACUUUGGGAUAACUUCAGGAAACUGGGGCUAAUACCGGAUAGGAGCUCCUGCUGCAUGGUGGGGGUUGGAAAGUUUCGGCGGUUGGGGAUGGACUCGCGGCUUAUCAGCUUGUUGGUGGGGUAGUGGCUUACCAAGGCUUUGACGGGUAGCCGGCCUGAGAGGGUGACCGGCCACAUUGGGACUGAGAUACGGCCCAGACUCCUACGGGAGGCAGCAGUGGGGAAUAUUGCACAAUGGGCGGAAGCCUGAUGCAGCAACGCCGCGUGCGGGAUGACGGCCUUCGGGUUGUAAACCGCUUUCGCCUGUGACGAAGCGUGAGUGACGGUAAUGGGUAAAGAAGCACCGGCUAACUACGUGCCAGCAGCCGCGGUGAUACGUAGGGUGCGAGCGUUGUCCGGAUUUAUUGGGCGUAAAGGGCUCGUAGGUGGUUGAUCGCGUCGGAAGUGUAAUCUUGGGGCUUAACCCUGAGCGUGCUUUCGAUACGGGUUGACUUGAGGAAGGUAGGGGAGAAUGGAAUUCCUGGUGGAGCGGUGGAAUGCGCAGAUAUCAGGAGGAACACCAGUGGCGAAGGCGGUUCUCUGGGCCUUUCCUGACGCUGAGGAGCGAAAGCGUGGGGAGCGAACAGGCUUAGAUACCCUGGUAGUCCACGCUGUAAACGGUGGGUACUAGGUGUGGGGUCCAUUCCACGGGUUCCGUGCCGUAGCUAACGCUUUAAGUACCCCGCCUGGGGAGUACGGCCGCAAGGCUAAAACUCAAAGGAAUUGACGGGGCCCCGCACAAGCGGCGGAGCAUGCGGAUUAAUUCGAUGCAACGCGUAGAACCUUACCUGGGUUUGACAUGGAUCGGGAGUGCUCAGAGAUGGGUGUGCCUCUUUUGGGGUCGGUUCACAGGUGGUGCAUGGCUGUCGUCAGCUCGUGUCGUGAGAUGUUGGGUUAAGUCCCGCAACGAGCGCAACCCUUGUUCACUGUUGCCAGCACGUUAUGGUGGGGACUCAGUGGAGACCGCCGGGGUCAACUCGGAGGAAGGUGGGGAUGACGUCAAGUCACCAUGCCCCUUAUGUCCAGGGCUUCACGCAUGCUACAAUGGCUGGUACAGAGAGUGGCGAGCCUGUGAGGGUGAGCGAAUCUCGGAAAGCCGGUCUCAGUUCGGAUUGGGGUCUGCAACUCGACCUCAUGAAGUCGGAGUCGCUAGUAAUCGCAGAUCAGCAACGCUGCGGUGAAUACGUUCCCGGG
RNAcentral lists this ribosomal RNA (1343 nucleotides) under uncultured bacterium. RNAcentral describes it as "16S ribosomal RNA". It matches the Rfam family "Bacterial small subunit ribosomal RNA", at positions 28 to 1378 of the family's 1533-position model. The record is from RNAcentral.